GAACCCGGGUCCCCUGCGGUGGGAGCGCAGAGUCUUAACCAUUGGACCGCCAGCUUCCGGAGUGUGGGCAGGAGCGAUUCCCUGAGUAUUUUUCAACGAUGACUUCUGUGUUUUCCUAAGAGGAGGACUCUGUUUGAGGUGGUGAGCAGAGUCAGAGCUUAAAGCGAUUCUUCCUUGAAGAGCAGGGUACCGCCCACACCUGCUCAACGCUCUGCUUCUCCAUCCAUUUACAUCAGGAGGAAUUGGGUCCUAUGAAGAGAUGAAGCUGCUCAUCCUUCAGACACCGCAUAUAGAAGAAGCAACUAAUAAUAAUAAUAAUGCUUACCUCCUGUUUACAGGACCCUUUUUCAUAUAAUUUACUCCAAGAGACCAGGAUGCUCCAAGACAGAGAAAGAAUAAGAUUAAUUUCUAGGGAAGGAAGUUCUGUAACUGAAUCCAAAUUAUAAUUUGAAAA
This is a long non-coding RNA of Delphinapterus leucas (beluga whale), 454 nucleotides long. RefSeq lists it as uncharacterized. Lineage: Eukaryota; Metazoa; Chordata; Mammalia; Artiodactyla; Monodontidae. The record is from RefSeq and is a predicted model, not a curated record.